This 1177-nucleotide long non-coding RNA is filed under the name Homarus americanus (American lobster). RNAcentral describes it as "uncharacterized LOC121863507, transcript variant X1". Lineage: Eukaryota; Metazoa; Arthropoda; Malacostraca; Decapoda; Nephropidae. The record is from RNAcentral.
GUCUGUUGUGUAGUUAAAUGGACGCUGCGUCUGUUCAGUUUUUACCUCCUGUCCCUCACCAGUGCUAGAGAAUUGUGGUAUUGGACUAUUUUCUUUGGAGUAGAACUGUGGCGCGUCAUCCUUUCACAUCUUUCGGCCAGAUUGUAAUGAGAUCGGAGACAAAUUGACGGGCCAACAGACGCAAGAAAUAACCAAUUGGGCUUCUUGACGUAUACGCAAUAUUCACACAGAUGUAUUGAAGAACGACUUAUCUCUUGCUAACAUAAGGGUCAUCUGCGGGGACCUCAUCCAAUGUAUAAGGAUCCUAUGCAGCUUCCUUCCUACGGCAUAGUGACCUCAAGUUGGGAGUCAUUAGAUAAAUAAGAUGUUACAACAAAACUUUGGGAAAUUGAACUGCUCCAUAACAGAUGAAAAUGAUAACUGGAGCAUGGAACGAGAGCUGCCACCAGCACUAUCACCAACACUACCAUCACCAUGGCACUAUCAUCACUGCCACCACCACAGCACCACCACCUAUGGCAAGAUGAGUUAACGACUAAACCUUAGGAAAUUGAGCAGCACCAUCACAGCUGAAAAUGAUAACUGCAAGCUGAGACAAAGAGCUAACAUUGUAGAAUUUAAUUCCUAUGAACACUAUAACACCGCCACUACUACCACAGCACCACCACCACCACAUAUGGCAAGAUGAGUUAACGUCUAAACCUUGACAAAUUAACAACUGGAUCAUGGAGACACUGCUGUUACAGGUAUGUCAAUAUCUCAAUUUUUCUAGGUAUGUCUAACUGUCUAUCUUUAUGUAUCUGUAUCUCUAUAUCUUUCUAUCAGUCUUCCAAAACCUGCAUGUCAGUCAGUCUGUCUGUUUGGUAUCUAUAUCAUCUGUCAGACUGUCUUUAUCUAUACAAGUUUCUGUCUCAUCUAUAUCUAUGCUAUCAGUCAGAAAGAUAUUGGCAGUGAGUGAGGAAGGUGGGUUCACAAGAAGUGCAAUGGAGUGGAUGGAAGACUGCAAGAUGUUGCUGAUUGUAAGUGAUAUGUAUGUGCAGGUAAAUAUGUGUCCAUGGCAAGACUGAAGAAAUUCAUCACUGAAGAUUAUCCCUGGAUUGUGUGGAUGAGUUCUGCUGCCUGGGUGACAUGAUCAGUGCUGGUGGGGGUGCUGAAGGCUGCUGUGUUCUGAGUCAUG